Planococcus citri (citrus mealybug) is the source of this 808-nucleotide long non-coding RNA. RefSeq lists it as uncharacterized. The transcript has 2 exons. Lineage: Eukaryota; Metazoa; Arthropoda; Insecta; Hemiptera; Pseudococcidae. The record is from RefSeq and is a predicted model, not a curated record.
GAAAUUGAUGAGCUAAAGUUUCAUCAAAAGUAAGGUAUAGAUUAUAGUGGGAGUUUCAAUACUUGAAACUUUGAUGAUUUUCUUCACUUUUUCGUAUAGGAAAAUAUGUUUUUAAUAUGUAUAAUGAAAUUAAUUACUUAAUCUAUUAUAGUAAUGUAAACCCUUUUUUUAGACUGCGAAUCACAACUUUAUUUAUGGACCGAUUUUCUUGAAAUUUCAAAAUGAAGUGUAACAUUUUAACCCGUUUACUUUUUUUCCAGUGAUGACUCUGGCAUCGAAUCGCCUGCAUCAAUCAGACAGUAGUGAUUCUGAUUCAGUAAUAUUUUAUCAUGUUUGGCAGAAUAAUGCGCAAUUUUCAUGCUCUACUAUUAAUGAUUUCAACAUCAACAUGGAGACUUGGAGAGCUUCAAUUUGUACAACUUUACGCCUCCCAGUAAUGCGCUAUACGUCGCUAUUACUUUUCAACGAACUCCUGGCCGUAGUUUGUUCAAACUAUUAAAGUUAAAUGACACGUUCGACUUAUAUCAGAAAUGGUUUGAGAAAAAGGAUAUUGACAACCAGUGUCAGCUAUGAAGCUGACGAUGAAGACGAAUAAAUUAUAAAACGAAGUUCUAUUUAUAUUUUUAAAUGUGAUUUUUAUUUAAUUAUGCGCAAAUGUGUUUGUGUAUGUGUUGUGUUUGUGAUUGUAUGUGGGUUUGCGUAUGUUAUGAAUGGAUGGUAUGUUAAUUACGCAUAGUCGUUUUUUAUAUUUUAAGAGCUGAAUGUUUUUGGUUUCUGUAUCAUAAUAUUAAACUACUGAUUACUAACA